This is a long non-coding RNA of Mesocricetus auratus (golden hamster), 942 nucleotides long. RefSeq lists it as uncharacterized. The transcript is spliced from 2 exons. NCBI's taxonomy places the organism in Eukaryota, Metazoa, Chordata, Mammalia, Rodentia, Cricetidae. The record is from RefSeq and is a predicted model, not a curated record.
GCACCCGGCUGUGUAUUUCAGGAAGCUCCCUGUAACCAGGAGGAAGCAGAACCCACAUAGAGAAGGCAGACGACCAUCCCUGGGUAAUCCCCAGAUAAUGAGGCUACAGAUUGGAAAUGGGGAAAGCUUCAGGAGUAGCCUGACCCACGGGGCAUUCCACGUGGGGACUGGAGGGCACCUAGGAGAAAGAUGCGGGACAGGAGAUACGAGAAAGGACACUAACACAGGCUGGCCUCUCGCUCCUUCCAGAAGUCAGGAAGCCACCCUGGAGAGACAGCACCAUGCUUAAGGAGCUUAAGGAGAUCUGGAUCGAGAAACUAAGUAUUUGUGAUACCAUGCAUGGUAGGCUGCAUGUAAUUAAGUUUGGGAAUUCAGAGAAAGAGGAUCCCAGAGCAAACUGAAUUGCAAAACAACCACCUCAGCAAGCUCUGAGGUUGAUUUAGGACUGUCUGCUCAUCUGAAUAAGAAAGCCCUGCAUAGGAUGAUGUAUUUGAAUGUUUGGUCCUCGUAGAAUGAACAGUUUUGGAAAGAUAGUAGAUAUGGCCUUAUUGGAUAAGGUAUGUUACUGAGGGUGGGCUUUGGGGUUUCAAAAACGUGCACCAUUUCCAGCAAGUGCUCUCUCUGCCUUGUGUCUAUGGAUCAAAGUCAAGCUUUCAAUGACUGCCCAGCUUCAUACUUGCCCGCCUGCUGCCAUGCUGCCUGCCAUGAUGAUCAUGGACUCUAACCCUCUGGAAACUUUUUUUUUUUUGGUUUUUUCGAGACAGGGUUUCUCUGUAUUGUUUUGGAGGCUGUCCUGGAACUAGCUCUGUAGACCAGGCUGGCCUCGAACUCACAGAGAUCCGCCUGCCUCUGCCUCCCGAGUGCUAGCAUUAAAGGCAUGCGCCACCAACGCCCGGCUUCCCUCUGGAAACUUAAUACCCAAAUUAAAUACAUUCUGUUAUA